UUGCUCACUGCAACAGCACACAUAAUAAAAUUGGGAGGAUAUAGAGAAGAUUAGCAUGGCCACUGCACGAAGCUGACAUGAAAAUUCAUGAAGCGUUCCAUAAUUUU
Molecule: small nuclear RNA, 107 nt
Organism: Fukomys damarensis (Damara mole-rat)
Lineage: Eukaryota; Metazoa; Chordata; Mammalia; Rodentia; Bathyergidae
Source: Ensembl